RNAcentral lists this ribosomal RNA (403 nucleotides) under uncultured bacterium. Its description in RNAcentral is "partial 16S ribosomal RNA". It matches the Rfam family "Bacterial small subunit ribosomal RNA", at positions 28 to 526 of the family's 1533-position model. The record is from RNAcentral.
GACGAACGCUGGCGGCGUGCCUAAUACAUGCAAGUCGAACGCAGUGGGGACGGGUGAUUAACACGUGGGUAACCUCCCAUCAGAGGGGAUAACACUUGGCAACAGGUGCUAAACCGAUAUUGAUGGAUGGACCCGCGGUGCAUUAGCUAGUUGGUGAGGUAACGGCUCACCUAGGCGACGAUCUCUAGCUGGUCUGAGAGGAUGAUCAGCCACACUGGGACUGAGACACGGCCCAGACUCCUACGGGAGGCAGCAGUGGGGAAUAUUGCACAAUGGGCGCAAGCCUGAUGCAGCCAUGCCGCGUGUAUGAAGAAGGCCUUAGGGUUGUAAAGUACUUUCAGCGGGGAGGCGUUACCCGCAGAAGAAGCACCGGCUAACUCCGUGCCAGCAGCCGCGGUAAUAU